AAUAGGGAUUGAAUUGUUUUAUAAGGUCAUGUCAUUUGAAAAUCAUAUCCUAAACCAAGAUGGGGAAAUUCUCCAGAGCCCAAGGUCACACUGCCCAAGGCUUCUACUUCUUCCUAUUCAAUGCAUGACCAUGUAUAUUUAUAUCUGUAUGUGUGAGAGAGGUUGUAAGUGUAUACACACACAGUGUAACCCUGAGGUAUUUUUUUUUCUUAUUCUUAUUUCGCAGUGGGACUGUGAGAUAUCUCAAGCAUCUUUCAUUCACAAAGCAGAGUUCUAAGAGCAUGAAGAGGCCAGCUUCUGUGGAGUGGUAGCGCUGAACUUCCAUGGCAGUGCCAGUGCCAUUCAGGUACAAACAAGGGUAUGGAAGGGACACAAACGAAGGCUCUGAAAUUUCCUCCAUCCAUCCAUCUAUCCGUUCAACGCCUUCGCAUCGGACGGCCACAUCUACACACACGUGAAAUCGCUCCCUUCCUUGUCGCACGGCAGGAAUUGAAUGCAGCGAGUGACCAGAAAGCCAUGAUCACCGCCCCACACACACACACAUUUCCACACACAACUCUCACACACUCUCUCUCUCUCUCGCACUCUCUCUCUCUCUCUCUAUAUAUAUAUAUAUAUUGUACAUGUAUAUUUACCCAUAAAUAAGUAAUAAAGGGCAAAGGUACCACCCCAAAGUGCAUGGCCGUGAAAGAUUCUCAGACAACCCGAAAAGCGGAAGUCAGUGGCAACAGCAUACAGCCGUUCCCGGGGCCACAUGGCAGGCUUUUCGCAAACCCAGUGAAUGGGCAGGGCAGGGCACGCAGAGCAGGGCAGGUGCGGCGGACCAAAGGUCGCUGGGAAAGCGCGUCAACAACCAUGUCGGAGCUCUUACUGCUGCUGGUGCUGCUGAUGCUCCGAUCUCCCUCCCCUCCUCUCCUCUACCCCCACUGAGCUCAGCGCAGCUCAGCUCAGCCUCAUGCAGGACGGGCGCCGCUCUUGCAGCAUUCGGUAGCAUCCAGAUUCCCACGAGUUGGGUCUGGCACCGGCUUGUGGGAAUGUGCCUGCCAGGCAGCCAGCGAGCGACUGAGCCAGGGAGGGAGGGAUCGACAAGUGAAGCAGCAAACUAAGUUACACAGGCAGGCAGGCAGCACAUCCUGACACACGGCUAGACAUGGUCGAUCCAGCAACAACAACAAAGCAUUUCAAAACUCGGAAACCGAAACACGGUGGGUGACCUUUGUUGUAUUCUCACGCUGUCAAUCGCACUUUGACAUCCUGGUGUGAGCUUUCAUGCCCACAAACAUGCUGGAUUCUUUUCAUUCUAUACCAUUUUAUGUACUCAAAAACUUGUUGUGCUUAAGUAAAUAAAUAAAAGAUCAGAAAAUGUUCUGACAUAUUCACUUUGCUAA
Non-coding RNA from Physcomitrium patens, 1388 nucleotides. The record is from RefSeq and is a predicted model, not a curated record. Lineage: Eukaryota; Viridiplantae; Streptophyta; Bryopsida; Funariales; Funariaceae.